Long non-coding RNA from Ornithodoros turicata, 1135 nucleotides. RefSeq lists it as uncharacterized. The transcript is spliced from 3 exons. Lineage: Eukaryota; Metazoa; Arthropoda; Arachnida; Ixodida; Argasidae. The record is from RefSeq and is a predicted model, not a curated record.
GUUAUGUGCGUUGCAGUUCAGUGAAGGUUCUCUGUGUUUAGGUUCGACCGCUUGACACAUUUGGGUUUUCUAAACGAGAUUGUCUCUGUCAGGUGCUGCUGUUUGGAGCAGAAAAAAAAAAAAAGAUAGAAGUUGCUGAAUAUCUCGCACGGGGACUUGAACCACGAUUUCCUGGAUAUCACGAUUUCAGAGGACGCACGUCAAGACUCCCGAAAAAGAAAUUUCGCAGCACUCACCAUUUGUCGCUUACGGUAUCAUGAGUGGCACAGAUGACGAGGGACCAGGUGAGUUGAGGGAAGUUCGCUGCAUACCAUGCGGUGACACUGGCGAUGCCGGUACUUCCAGCACAGCGGAGCCACCUAGAGGGAAACGCAACCUGGGCGAUGUUCUUCUCGACGUGCGCGAAAUGGAGAGCCUGACGCCAGAACGUAUUGUCAAUGACUUCACUCCAUCCGUACACAUGGGCGAUGGAAGAGACGACACUCAGAAGCGCAGUCCGGCAAAGGGUUCUGAGGGUCCAACAGCUCGGGGUAUCUCCGGAUUAUCCAGGGUGUCGUUCGCAGAUAUUGGCCUAGACGCUAUAUCUCUAAAGAGUCUCCUAGACGGUGGAAGUAUCGACGAGAGGGAGCUCAUCAUGAAUCUAUUGAACGAAGAGAAGCUCGACCGUAAGACGAUUUUAACGGACACUGACAUCCAGCCAUCGAGUUCUCUGAAGCUGACAUUUUCCCAGGAGGUACAAACAUCGUUGGACUGUAAAUAUCCAACGGUACUUUCUCAACAUGCGAUGGAUUUCAUACGCCACGUGAGAAAUAGCCCGUUACCUAAAGAGAUCCAGACAUACAUGAUACUGCUCAAAGUGAAACCAUCACUGUGGAAGUAUGAAGGUACACGUGACACCGAAAAUGACGACGAAGACAGCAGGGAUUCCGUGUAUUCUCCAGAUGUUUAGACUGCGUAGAAACAGCGAGAUAAAUAUAGCAUGGGAAGCCAUCACUUUACAAUGGCAUGGGAUGUUUCUAGUAAAAUAGCUACGAAGAACGAACGAAGAACGAAGUUUAGGAACUGUUAAUGUGGUAAGACUGUAGAAUGAAGAGAAACUUUCGUUCAUUAAAAUUGAGUCAACCGUGAUUAAAUA